GACGAACCGUCCGAACGUUAUUCGGAAUCACUGGGCUUAAAGGGUGCGUAGGCGGCGCGGAAAGUUGGGUGUGAAAUCCCUCGGCUCAACCGAGGAACUGCGCCCAAAACUGCCGUGCUCGAGGGAGAUAGAGGUGAGCGGAACUUAGGGUGGAGCGGUGAAAUGCGUUGAUAUCCUAAGGAACACCGGUGGCGAAGGCGGCUCACUGGCCCGUAACUGACGCUCAGGCGCGAUAGCGUGGGGAUCAAACAGG
This 253-nucleotide ribosomal RNA is filed under the name uncultured bacterium. RNAcentral's name for it is "partial 16S ribosomal RNA". It matches the Rfam family "Bacterial small subunit ribosomal RNA", at positions 524 to 776 of the family's 1533-position model. The record is from RNAcentral.